RNAcentral lists this ribosomal RNA (250 nucleotides) under uncultured Catenibacterium sp. Its description in RNAcentral is "partial 16S ribosomal RNA". It matches the Rfam family "Bacterial small subunit ribosomal RNA", at positions 524 to 774 of the family's 1533-position model. The record is from RNAcentral. Lineage: Bacteria; Bacillati; Bacillota; Erysipelotrichia; Erysipelotrichales; Coprobacillaceae.
UACGUAGGUGGCGAGCGUUAUCCGGAAUCAUUGGGCGUAAAGAGGGAGCAGGCGGCCGCAAAGGUCUGUGGUGAAAGACCGAAGCUAAACUUCGGUAAGCCAUGGAAACCGGGCGGCUAGAGUGCGGAAGAGGAUCGUGGAAUUCCAUGUGUAGCGGUGAAAUGCGUAGAUAUAUGGAGGAACACCAGUGGCGAAGGCGACGGUCUGGGCCGCAACUGACGCUCAUUCCCGAAAGCGUGGGGAGCAAAUA